Molecule: transfer RNA, 72 nt
Filed under: Colletotrichum fructicola Nara gc5
Lineage: Eukaryota; Fungi; Ascomycota; Sordariomycetes; Glomerellales; Glomerellaceae
Description: tRNA-Leu for anticodon UAA
Rfam family: tRNA
About the family: Transfer RNA (tRNA) molecules are approximately 80 nucleotides in length.
Source: RNAcentral
UCCUCGAUAGUCUAGUGGGCUUGUCAUUAAUCCGAUUCGCCGGGGACCGGGGUUCAAUUCCCCGUCGAGGAG